Herpailurus yagouaroundi (jaguarundi) is the source of this 331-nucleotide long non-coding RNA. RefSeq lists it as uncharacterized. NCBI's taxonomy places the organism in Eukaryota, Metazoa, Chordata, Mammalia, Carnivora, Felidae. The record is from RefSeq and is a predicted model, not a curated record. The transcript is spliced from 2 exons.
GCUGACCCCUGUUUUAAAAUCUCCAUACAUACACUAUUACCAAAAAGUGUCACCUUCACUAAAAUCAUGGUGCAUAACACGGCACAAGGGCAGAAAAGUUACGUGAUUCAAUUUCGUACAGAACAUGGGAGAUAUGACAUUUUAGAAGAUGAGAACUGAGAAGAAAUCACGGAAGGCCAUAGGUUUGAAGAAAUAGAAGUUUUCCUCCUCUGUUCUCUUGGCUGGUGACAGUUUUGGAUUUUUUUUAAACCUCAUAGAUAUGGACAUUCAUUUCAUUUUAUACUCAUUUUCAAAAUAAAUGUCCUAUUUUGAAAGGUUUUAAAGGUAUUAA